Molecule: long non-coding RNA, 953 nt
Filed under: Ananas comosus (pineapple)
Lineage: Eukaryota; Viridiplantae; Streptophyta; Magnoliopsida; Poales; Bromeliaceae
Description: long non-coding RNA (ACOM_LNC044024)
Source: RNAcentral
UCCACUUUAACAGUUUUAAAGUUUACAUAUCAUAGUGAAUACUCAAAGUCAAAUCUGAAGAGACCCACCCGAAGGCUGUCUAUGGCCCUGAGACCCACCCGUAGGCUGUCUGGCCGAUGCCGAGCCUAAUGGCCCCAUGGUAGUCAUCAUCCCCACCAUAGGAAUGAGCCUGGCCGACGGCAAUCCACUUCGGCGCCCAAUCACGCACGGCGAAUAUGAAUCGCGAUGGCUAUCUCCGGAGUGCCGGCUUGUAGGGAGCGACCCUCACAAGCAUGUGCGAAUGAGCACAAUGGCAAGUAGUUAUACGUCCAGUCACAAGUACCAAGUCCUCAUGUCAAAUAACAUGGAAUGUAUCGAAUGUCCCAAAGGCCUAUCUCUAUGUCAUCAUGUCUCUAACAUGGAAUAUAUAGCAGAUGUACAAUGGCCUAACAUUAUGUUUCUAUGUUGCAGUUUCAUAAUUUACUAAUUUCAAGUGAAUCUUGAUGACACUUUAUGCUACUAAGUCCAAACAUAGUAUAAUGUUUCCAAUACACGAAUAUGAGCUAAAUUAGCAUACUAGACGAGAAUCCCAUUCGUCCACAUGAACACUCCUCACAUGCAUGAAAAUAACACUGAUUACCCUAUUAUAUAGAGUGAAAAUUUAACUUACACAUAAGGCAUGCAUUUUAGGUGUUCUAAAAUUCACAUAAAUUCCAACUAGCAUAGAAAUGCAUUUAAAAAUAUUUACGAAGAGUUUAGAAAGCAUAGGGGCCAUUUCGCCCCAUUUUCAUGAAGUCAAACCCACCAAAACACUCGCGAUCCUUCGUAAGCUCCGACGAAGGUGUCAACUAGCCUCCUAGCACCCUAGAGAUGUAGGAACAAGGGUCAAACAAACAUAACGAACAACCACAAGGUUGAUCAUUAACCAUCUCAUGCUAGGGUUGGGAAAAACUCACCUCAAGUGAAAAACCCUC